This 21-nucleotide small nuclear RNA is filed under the name Arabidopsis thaliana (thale cress). RNAcentral's name for it is "snRNA_06530". The record is from RNAcentral. Lineage: Eukaryota; Viridiplantae; Streptophyta; Magnoliopsida; Brassicales; Brassicaceae.
UGCGCCAAAUCAGAGCCUCAG